GAUGAACGCUGGCGGCGUGCCUAAUACAUGCAAGUCGAGCGAACAGACGAUGAGCUCUCUCCUCUGACGUUAGCGGCUGACGGGCGAGUAACACGUGGAUAACAUUCUUAUUUUACGUGGAUAAUUUCGUGAAACCGGUGAUACUACCGCCGAAUAUAUCGUACCGCUUGGAUCAAUAGAUCAUGACGCCUUUGCUGACUCUAUUAGAUGGUUUCGGGGCCGAUUAUUUAGGUGGUAAGGUAACGGCCAACCAAGGCGACGAUGCGGAGCCGACCCGAGAGGAGGAUCAGCCACACUGGAACUGAGACACGGUCCAGACUCCUACGGGAGGCAGAAGUGGGGAAUAUUGGACAAUGGGCGCAAGCCUGAUCCAGCCAUACCGCGUGGGUGAAGAAGGCCUUCGGGUUGUAAAGCCCUUUUGUUGGGAAAGAAAAGCAGCAGGUUAAUACCCCGCUGUUCUGACGGUACCCAAAGAAUAAGCACCGGCUAACUUCGUG
RNAcentral lists this ribosomal RNA (497 nucleotides) under uncultured bacterium. Its description in RNAcentral is "partial 16S ribosomal RNA". It matches the Rfam family "Bacterial small subunit ribosomal RNA", at positions 28 to 507 of the family's 1533-position model. The record is from RNAcentral.